This 497-nucleotide ribosomal RNA is filed under the name uncultured bacterium. Its description in RNAcentral is "partial 16S ribosomal RNA". It matches the Rfam family "Bacterial small subunit ribosomal RNA", at positions 28 to 507 of the family's 1533-position model. The record is from RNAcentral.
GAUGAACGCUGGCGGCGUGCCUAAUACAUGCAAGUCGAGCGAAUAGACGAGGAGCUUGCUCCUUCGACGUUAGCGGCGGACGGGUGAGUAACACGUAGGUAACCUACCUAUAAGACUGGGAUAACUUCGGGAAACCGGAGCUAAUACCGGAUAAUAUUUCGAACCGCAUGGUUCGAUAGUGAAAGAUGGCUUUGCUAUCACUUAUAGAUGGACCUGCGCCGUAUUAGCUAGUUGGUAAGGUAACGGCUUACCAAGGCAACGAUACGUAGCCGACCUGAGAGGGUGAUCGGCCACACUGGAACUGAGACACGGUCCAGACUCCUACGGGAGGCAGCAGUAGGGAAUCUUCCGCAAUGGGCGAAAGCCUGACGGAGCAACGCCGCGUGAGUGAUGAAGGUCUUCGGAUCGUAAAACUCUGUUAUUAGGGAAGAACAAACGUGUAAGUAACUGUGCACGUCUUGACGGUACCUAAUCAGAAAGCCACGGCUAACUACGUG